This 265-nucleotide ribosomal RNA is filed under the name uncultured bacterium. RNAcentral's name for it is "partial 16S ribosomal RNA". It matches the Rfam family "Bacterial small subunit ribosomal RNA", at positions 355 to 635 of the family's 1533-position model. The record is from RNAcentral.
UGGGGAAUAUUGGGCAAUGGGGGCAACCCUGACCCAGCGACGCCGCGUGGUGGAAGACGGCCUUCGGGUUGUAAACCUCUUUUGUACGUGAAGAAGGAAGUGACGGUACUGUACGAAUAAGUCCCGGCUAACUACGUGCCAGCAGCCGCGGUAAUACAUAGGGGACGAGCGUUGUCCGGAAUUACUGGGCGUAAAGGGCGCGCAGGCUGUGCUGCAAGUCAGCUGUUAAAUGUCUGGGCUUAACACGGGCAUGCGGUUGAGACUG